UACGUAGGGGGCAAGCGUUGUCCGGAUUUAUUGGGCGUAAAGAGCGUGUAGGCGGCCAGGUAGGUCAGCUGUGAAAACUCGAGGCUCAACCUCGAGACGUCGGUUGAAACCACCUGGCUAGAGUCCGGAAGAGGAGAGUGGAAUUCCUGGUGUAGCGGUGAAAUGCGCAGAUAUCAGGAAGAACACCAAUGGCGAAGGCAGCUCUCUGGGACGGUACUGACGCUGAGACGCGAAAGCGUGGGGAGCGAACAGG
RNAcentral lists this ribosomal RNA (253 nucleotides) under uncultured bacterium. RNAcentral's name for it is "partial 16S ribosomal RNA". It matches the Rfam family "Bacterial small subunit ribosomal RNA", at positions 524 to 776 of the family's 1533-position model. The record is from RNAcentral.